Molecule: transfer RNA, 88 nt
Filed under: Felis catus (domestic cat)
Lineage: Eukaryota; Metazoa; Chordata; Mammalia; Carnivora; Felidae
Rfam family: tRNA
About the family: Transfer RNA (tRNA) molecules are approximately 80 nucleotides in length. Their secondary structure includes four short double-helical elements and three loops (D, anti-codon, and T loops). Further hydrogen bonds mediate the characteristic L-shaped molecular structure. tRNAs have two regions of fundamental functional importance: the anti-codon, which is responsible for specific mRNA codon recognition, and the 3' end, to which the tRNAs corresponding amino acid is attached (by aminoacyl-tRNA synthetases). tRNAs cope with the degeneracy of the genetic code in two manners: having more than one tRNA (with a specific anti-codon) for a particular amino acid; and 'wobble' base-pairing, i.e. permitting non-standard base-pairing at the 3rd anti-codon position.
Source: Rfam by way of RNAcentral
GCCUAGGUGGCUCAGUUGGUUGAGUGUCUGACUUUGGCUCAGGUCAUGAUCUCAUGGUGGUUUGUGAGUUCGAGCCCCGCAUCAGGCU